GCGGGGAAUCUUGCGCAAUGGGCGAAAGACUGACGCAGCCAUGCCGCGUGAAUGAUGAAGGUCUUAGGAUUGUAAAAUUCUUUCACCGGGGACGAUAAUGACGGUACCCGGAGAAGAAGCCCCGGCUAACUUCGUGCCAGCAGCCGCGGUAAUACGAAGGGGGCUAGCGUUGCUCGGAAUUACUGGGCGUAAAGGGCGCGUAGGCGGACAGGUUAGUCAGAGGUGAAAGCCCAGGGCUGAACCUUGGAAUUGCCUUUGAUACUGGCUGUCUGGAUUACGGGGAAGGUGAGUGGAACUCCGAGUUUAUAGGUGAAAUUCGUAGAUAUUCGGAAGAACACCAGUGGCGAAGGCGACUCACUGGCCCGUUACUGACGCUGAGGCGCGAAAGCGUGGGGAGCAAACAGGAUUAGAAACCCCGGUAGUCC
Molecule: ribosomal RNA, 425 nt
Filed under: uncultured bacterium
Lineage: Bacteria
Description: partial 16S ribosomal RNA
Rfam family: Bacterial small subunit ribosomal RNA
Source: RNAcentral